This is a long non-coding RNA of Portunus trituberculatus (swimming crab), 542 nucleotides long. RefSeq lists it as uncharacterized. The transcript is spliced from 3 exons. The record is from RefSeq and is a predicted model, not a curated record. Lineage: Eukaryota; Metazoa; Arthropoda; Malacostraca; Decapoda; Portunidae.
GUAUUUUUCAGGGUAUUUUUUUAGGAAAAAAAGUGUGUCUUGUAAGCCAUAAAAUACGGUAACGUAAUAAACCAACAUCUCCUAGCACGUAAACCUGCUAGUGGGUGCACUGAGGUGUCCUAACCUUCCUUCACUUACAGUACUCCAUGAAGAGAAACUGCAGCGAUAGAGGGCAGCAUGACAUCUGCCAUCAUAGCAGACACAAUUUCACACUACUGCAGUGUCAUCAUGUGAGGAGCGAGUGAUGAUAGGGGAGAGGUUGAGAAGCAGUCCACGUUCACCAACGAUGGGUGUACUCUCCAGGCGGGGCAAUACCCUCCCUACUUCAAGGGCUGCUCGGGGUUGUCUGCCGCUGCCAUGAUGCUCUCGGCUGGGACCCGAGUUAACUUUCUGAGCACAGCAUACAUGAAAGCUCUCCACUGCUGCUGACACCAGUGACAGACCAAAGGAAGGCUGCUCUGAUAGAAGUUCUGGUAUACGUGCCAGGUCCCGCAAGAUGGAAGCAAGUCGUCGUCUACAAAAUGUAAAUAAAAAAAUUAAGU